This is a small nucleolar RNA of Rhineura floridana, 131 nucleotides long. RefSeq annotates it as small nucleolar RNA ACA64. The transcript has a single exon. The record is from RefSeq and is a predicted model, not a curated record. NCBI's taxonomy places the organism in Eukaryota, Metazoa, Chordata, Lepidosauria, Squamata, Rhineuridae.
CCUGUCUGAAAAUCAUCUCUGGUCUCCUUCAGUGGCCUUGGGUGAGAUAACGGUGCCCACAGCAAAGGGAGCAUUAAGCUUAUUGCCCUUAAGCACUGCGCAUGGGCAAUAAAACCCAUGCUCCUAUAUGC